Molecule: small nucleolar RNA, 106 nt
Filed under: Cutaneotrichosporon oleaginosum
Lineage: Eukaryota; Fungi; Basidiomycota; Tremellomycetes; Trichosporonales; Trichosporonaceae
Description: Trichosporon oleaginosus Small nucleolar RNA Z13/snr52
Rfam family: Small nucleolar RNA Z13/snr52
About the family: Z13 or snr52 is a member of the C/D class of snoRNA which contain the C (UGAUGA) and D (CUGA) box motifs. Most of the members of the box C/D family function in directing site-specific 2'-O-methylation of substrate RNAs.
Source: Rfam by way of RNAcentral
UCUUCUCCUAUGAUGAAGCAUUUUUCGGAUGUAAAUGCCUACGGGCAAGUGUCCGAGAGCGCAAAACCGUGUGGAUACUUCCGUUGCCUUCCUUCUGAUCCUCCCU